GCCUCUAUAGCUCAGUGGUAGAGCACUGGUCUCGUAAACCAGGGGUCGUGAGUUCAAUUCUCACUGGAGGCA
Molecule: non-coding RNA, 72 nt
Organism: Ciona intestinalis (vase tunicate)
Lineage: Eukaryota; Metazoa; Chordata; Ascidiacea; Phlebobranchia; Cionidae
Source: Rfam